UUAAUAUUUUCUUAAGAUUUCUAGUAAUAUUAAAAUUUUUAUAUCACUACUACGAUCAUAUAAAGAGGUUUCGACACUCGCUAGAGAAAACCGUCCGAAAAUUGAGUCGUGUCUAGUUGUGAAAAAUCAUCAUGGAAGUUCAAUAAAAUCCAAGUUUUUGUAAGACAGACAGACUCCUUGUCUUCCAUGCUGAUUUUUCGCAGGUAGUCACACUCGAUUUUCGUUAAGCUUCAAUAUUAUAUGAGUGUCAAGACUCGAGAAUUUUUUAGAUCAUGAUUAAUACUGUCAGAAAUGUCAGAGCUAUCUUGACUUAACAUCCUAUAUUAUGUGAAUCUGUCCUUAAGAAAAUUUCUUAAGAAUAAUUUUAAAAUGUUCAUUGUUUAAUGUAUUUAUUCAUACGUUUAUAAAAGUAAUGAUCUUGCAUUUAAAAGGGGAUGUGUAUAUAAAUAUAUGUAUAGAUCGUGAAGAUUUGAAGUUCUACACCUAAAAUUGAUAUACAUACAGAUUUCAACCUCAAAAAUAUUUUGUGUUUGGUUGAAGUAUUAAUUUCAUAAUUUAUUAAACUUCAUAACAUACAUGAUAUAAUCUUUUGCAUACCAUGAUAUAAAAAUACUAUGAAAAGAAUAAAACUUAAGCCUAAAAAUCCAAACCCACUAUUUGAGCUCUGGUUAGAAGAAUGGAGAAAAGAGGCUGCAUCGAGAAAUUCCGACUUGCAAUAUCAUUUUUCGAAAGCACUUGCUGCAUUAAAAAAAUAUCCCUUACCAUUAAAAUCUGGGAAGGAUUGUAUAAUAUUGCAACACUUCGGCACAAAAUUAUGCUCCAUGUUAGAUAGAAAACUCAAAGAAUAUAAAGUUCAAAAUAAUGACUCAACAAGUGUGAAGAAUGUUUGCAAGCACUGCAGUUUUAAUGAACAACCUGUAUUUAAAAGGAAACACAGAUCACAACAAAUUAUUGUGGACACAGAUUUCGUACCUGAAAGAACAGAACUAACAAUAUUUGAUGACUUAAAUUUAUCAUCUUGGAAUGUAGAAAAUUAUGCUGCCUUAUUGAUAUUAUAUAAGAAAACACUAGACUCAUGUUAUUUAGGAUAUACUACAGAAACAGAUCUACUGUUGGAAAUGAAACAAUUGUGUGGGCAUGGAGCAAAGACUUCAAUCUUAGAUUUGUUUGAAAGUGGAUUAAUUUCUAUGAUAGGUAGACCAAUUAGGUAUAAUCUUACAGAGCAUGGUAUAAGUAUUUCAAAGAAGAUAUGUGAAAUUACAAAUACUGAUGUAAUAUCAUUAAAUUCUUUUGAAGUAUUAAAUAGAAUUCAAAUCUCAUUAAAAUCAUUGAUUACCCAAAAGUCUAAGUUAAUAAAAGAUUCAGCCGAUCUUAAUAAUAGGAAUGAGGAUACACAAAUAUUUAUACAAUCUGCUAAGGAUAUACAAACCAAGAAUUUAGAACCUCCAACAAUAUAUAAGUCUAAAUCUGUAGAAACUAUUACUAUUGAAGAUCACUGCCAACAAUUUGAUAAAAAUUUUGUAAAACAAAAAUCAACGGAAAAUAUUGUCUAUCCAAAAAAAAUGCAAGAAAAAACGAAAGAAGUAAAAGAUAUGAAUCAUGUACAUAAUUUAGAAAAUAAUGAAACAGAUUUUACAGAUGAUUUUCAAAGAAACUAUUAUUUAGAAUCAAGUAAUUUCGAUAUAAUACUAUUAGUAGAUACACAAGAGACUGCUGGUGGUAGGACAAAACCUCAACAUGAUGCUACUAUCACAGGACUAACAGAGUUUGGUGUAUCAUUUGAGAUACGUCAUUUAAAAGUUGGUGAUUUUGCAUGGAUUGCUAGGUGUAGAAGAAAUAAAAAUAAUGAAUUAAUUUUACCCUUUAUAGUAGAAAGGAAACGAAUAGAUGAUUUAAGUGCAAGUAUUACAGAUGGAAGAUUUCAUGAACAAAAGUUUAGAUUAAAGCAAUCUGGAAUUACAAAUCUUAUGUACAUAAUUGAAGAUUAUGAGAAGGGUCAAAGAUUGACAAUACCACAUUCAUCAUUGAUGCAAGCUUCCAUUAAUACUUUGAUACAAGAUGGAUUCUCUGUAAAAUAUACUAAGAAUCAUAAAGAUUCUAUGUUCUAUUUGUCAUCAUUAACUAGAAUUUUAAUAAAAAUGUUUAAAGAAAAAAACCUGAUAGGUUGUAAAAAAGAAGUUAUCACACGAACAAAUAUUUUAAAUAAUACCUGUAGUCUCAUGGUAUUUGAAGAAUUUAAUAAAGCAGCUUCUAAACAAAAGGUUUUUAAAGUAAAUCAAAUGUUUGUCCGCCAACUGCUACAGUUAAAAGGAAUGUCCAUAGAUAAAGCCUUAGCAAUUGUAGAACAUUAUCCAACUCCCCGAUUAUUAGUUGAAGCUUUUCAGAAGUCUGAUUGCAAUGGUGAGUUAUUAUUAGCCACUAUUGAAUUUGGUGAUAAAAAACGUCUUAUAGGAUCAGUAAUUAGUAAAACAAUUUAUCAAUUGUAUAUGAAAAAAGAUCUAAACUGAUAACUGAAAUUUUACACGAAUAAAGACAUAAAUGAAUAUUAUAUGUACAAAAAAAUGAACAAAAUUUUAUACAAUAAUGAUAUAGAGAAUAAUACUUUUAUAGAAUUAUAUAUUUUAUAAUGUUCAUACUCUCUGUAAAACCUUUUAUUAUAUAUAUGGUGUUGGGCUCAUUAAUGAUCACUACUAGUUACUAUUUUCAAAAUAUUUAGCAAUAAUACCCCAAUGAGUACAUGCCACAAAUUUCAGAAUAGCAGCAUCAGUGACAAAUUGAUAAAAAAUUUUAUUGAACCAGAAUAUAACAAUUUAUUGACGUACUUGGUAAAGUAUAUCAUUUUAUUUCAAUAAUAUAUGUCUUUUUUCCAUUCAGAAUGUAAUCAUAAUCAUAUAACAUUGACAUAACUCUUAGAAAAUGUAAGAUUGGGUUAUCAUUAAACCAUAAAAUUACUAGAAACGAAUAUUUUCGAGUAGGUACGAACGAUUAUUCUCUCAGUGACAAGAACAUGGUGAAAUACGACAUACAAGCUUUAACAGUCUUGAAAUUAAAGAAUUAUUAUUACUAACAUCCGCUUAAAUUAUUAUAACAUGAUACUUUUAUUAAUUUCCAUUAUUACGUACUAUUCCAAAACUUUCAAUGUUCAUCUUGUAUAUCCCCGCUGCUGUCAAUAUACACGGUUUGUUGGACCUCACUUGCAUUAGGUAAAAUACCUUUUGAGCUUUUGUCGGUAUUUUAUACCAAUCCGAGUCAUAUCUGCCCCGAAAUCCAUAAGUUUAGAUUAUUUGCGGCUUUCUUUAUUUUAUAUGUGUUAAAAACUUACAUUUUAUUGGCCAAUUCUACGCUUUGAUCCAGUAAUGUUUGCCCUGGUAGACUAAACAUGUACAAAUGAAAUUGUUGUGCUAUAAGGUAGACAAUAGCCCUGAUGGCUUCUGCCGGUCGGUCCAAGAACACAAUUACCUAGAAGGUAAAAGCAUCGGUUUCGUUCUUUCUCAAUACUUAUUCGACUCAGGAUGUUCCUCCUAAUUCAAACUUUUAUAAAAAGAAUUAAAAAAACAUGGUAGUUACAUAAAAACUGUUUUACAUAUGUUAACAUUUGCAUUUUCAAGAAAUGCAGAAAAAAUCAACAAUCUAGUAAUUUCUAAGGUGUGUAAAAGAUGUUCUUACUUCAACAGCUGUUACGCUGAGAAUGACUGCAUUCAACACCAUCGUAAUCAAGUACAAAUUCCGGCAACAUUUCUCGAGGGCGUCAUAAAGUCUUAAAAUAUGACAAAUGAACCAAAGUCAGUUCAAGUUGUAUUAAUUUCUUAUCGAUUAUUAGUUUACUAUUAACUAGUCGGACUUAAAACUAUACAGACUGAAGACAUUUAUAAUGCAUCAUCACGCAUUCUUUGAAAGCAUCGUAUCCAAUGUUGCGUAUGUUAAUGCCAUUUUUCUCGACAAAAUUAUUUUCUGCAGUUUUCUGAACCUGGGAUCUGUACAUGCGAAUAAUUGAAAUCCAAAUAAGUAAACAUAUACAAAUGAAGUAUACUCUUUACCGCGUAAUACAAUUUUUGCCUUGUUUUAACAGAAUUUUUAUUUAAACCAUUGUAUUUACCCACACACUGCAAAUAAUCCGCAAGCGUGAUAAAUAAUAGUAAUGUAUAACGAAUCUACCGAGAUUAUCGUCACCACGAUAAUAAUCGCACAAAGAGAUAAAUGCACAUACACGAUGUAAAAGUGUUCUUCGUUAUCUAGGAUACCAUAGUGAACUUGAAAUACAUUAUUUCGUUGUCGGGUUUCGUUUAAUGGUAUAAUAAUAUCUAGGAUGGGAUUACAUAACGGAAGGGACAAAAAUAUUACGAGAGCUAUUAAUAACGUUCCUGGAAGAAUUAUUUUUAAUUAAAAAUUAUUUUUAUAUCCAACAAUUGUUGUGGAAGUAUAUAAUAAAAAUCAUAAGAUGACCACUUACUUCUGUACAGACAUGCAACUUUAUUGCCGUGUUUGGUAAAUUUAUCUAGCAUUUGUAAUUCGUUUUUUGAUUCCAGUAAUUUCCAAUCUUCUUCCAGGGAAUUAAAUAAUUUUCUAAACUAAUGAUAUCUUGAUUAUUAUGACUUUGUAUGUGAAGGAGGUAUUAAAUACAUACGUACCAGCGUUUUGUUGGAAUAGAUGUUUAGUAUUUUUGUAACACUGACAAGUACUGUAAGUAUAUGCGGUAAAUUUAGGAUGACGUUAUCGAAAUCUUUGUCACGUAUGGCAUCGUAUAGUUGCAUAGACUAUGGAAUCGUGAAUCCCGAUCAUGUAAUAAUAUUAACUGAUUACUUAUUCUGCUAUUUAUUUAUUUUUCAUUAUAUUCAUCGAUUAAUAAUAAUAAUCAUAAAAACGACGUUUGAACAACGCAAUUUCAUAGCGUACGUUCCUCUUACCGUUGGAGCAAAGAAGCUCAUAAAACUGCACAUUAUUGCAAUUACUAUAAUAUUACUGGUACGAUCUUCCUGAUACGGAUUUAUCCCACAAAUUGACAGAUACUGUUUAAGCGGCUUAUGGUAGCUAAUAUCGAACACAUUAAAAUCUUGCUUGCUGUUUGCCUGAAACACUGAACAUUGCCGUUUAAACUAACAAUUCAAGUAUUUAUUGAAAAAUGUGACUCAACAUUGAAUUAGAUAUCGUAAUGUAAAAUAUGCUAGAAUGAAGAAGAAAAAGAGAAAAUGAUAUGAUGUGCAAAAAUAAGAAAUUUAUUUCGACAUCUAUUUUUUGGUAAUUAAAACACUUAUAAUCAGUGAAUUAUAAGACCGAGUUACCGCAAUAAUCAUAAUUUGAUAUCAAAUUUUUGUAUAAAUUUUUACCUUUAUGGACACAAGUAAAGAAAUGGAACUUAUAUAGAGAUUCGCUUUACCGAUUAAAAUUAAUAUAUUUUGGUAUAUUAUGAGAAAUCUAUGAAAUUUUACAUCUUUAAAUUUCGCAUAAUUGCAAAAGAAUCCAGUCAGUCAUAAUAUAGAAUAUAUCCAGUUUUCUCUUACUAUUUAAAUUUCUUAGAUCUGUCUAGUACAAUCGACUUAUUAGUAAACGAGGCGGCGAAAGUGAUUUAACGAAGUUGUAUGAAGUAUGAAGUAUGAAAGUUGUUCUUUAUAUUGUACACCGAGAAAUUGAAAUGGAUCCUACGAAUGCACUUAUAUUCCUUCACCCGAUGUCUGUGAAAGCAUGUAAUUUUUACCAUCGAAUUAGUUUGACGGUUUGCUUACCGGCAAGUAUGCAUUAUAGCACAAUGUUGGGUAGCACGACAUCGAAUAAUAACCAUGUCGUAGAUGUGAAAAUAAUAGGCCAUCGGUUGCUGGAGUGUCAAUCAUUUGCGUUGGGAAUUGAAAACCUGUGGUUACUCUGAAAUAUCGACCUCACUGGUUGUGACACAACCUUAGUCGAUGACGAUCGGCGAUAGCAGUAGGUUUUCAAUCAAUUUAUUCCUUGAAAAUUCUUUGGUGGUUAAUAUCUUACGAGCAAGAAGCAUGCGUAUGUGUGCGAUGGACAUUGCAGUGACACUCAAUUACUUAUUGCGUUGUAUAUUUGUAACGCAUCGUUCAAAGUUUUAUACGCAUAUUAUAUUAAUCAACAAGCUGCUAUAUAGUAUAUUCGGCUACAGGAACCAAAGUAGGUGAGCCUAAGCAGCGGGGUACACAGGGUUCCUUAAAUCGAACGAUAGAUGGAUAGCAGCUUAUCUUGUACAAGCCGUAGGGAAAAGGAUUACAACAUUCGAAAAUAUAACUCAUUAUGCCUACUGAGUAAAAUCCAUAUAUAAAAUCCAGCAUAUUGAAAAACUGUAUAUGAAUAUUGGCGAAAUGAUAUCUUACGCGAACAAUGGUUAUGAAACUGUGGCAGCACUCGACAGCAAAUACCACCGGACGACACCAAGUGUCGGAAUACGGCAGCGCAAUGGUUAACGCCUUAGGUUACAAACAUUCGGGACCCGCCUUCAAAUCCUGGCGACCGGAGUCCAAUUUUUCUUUCCACGAUUCUUAAAUGAGAAGAAAAUGCAGCAGUACCUACCCCAACAGCGACAUCUACAGCCAGCAACUAUAACUAUCACGGCCUAAUCACCUCAAAACUAACUACUAAUCUUGUUAAAAUGCUUGGUAACAACGUAAUUAUGUAGAAAUAUGAUAAAAGAACCAAACUUAGGUCUAGUUAUAUUAAUUUCUUAUUGAUUGUUAGUUUAGAAGAGAUAUAACGCAACAUCACAUAUUCUUUAAACUCUUCGUACCCAAUGCUCUUAAUAUUAGUGCCAUUUCUUUUCGGUAGAAUUAUUUUCUGCAAUUGAGAUCUGUAUACGUUAAUAAUUGAAAUUCAAAUAAAUGGACAUUCAUGAAUGAAA
RNA transcript from Bombus terrestris (buff-tailed bumblebee), 6844 nucleotides. It is a transcript of the gene named crossover junction endonuclease MUS81, with no coding region annotated. The record is from RefSeq and is a predicted model, not a curated record. The transcript has 9 exons. NCBI's taxonomy places the organism in Eukaryota, Metazoa, Arthropoda, Insecta, Hymenoptera, Apidae.